UCCCUGGUCCUCGGUUCCGUGUUAAAUAGAGCCGGGGAAUAGCCCCCACGGCGGUGGCACUUACAACAGGUUUGUUACAGAUUUGUUACAAGAGAUAAGAUCUCCUAGGUACAAACUAGGAACUAACUGUAUACAGAAUAUCUAUAAUCUAACAGGAACUACAUGGAGAAUAAUUGCUGGAGUGAUCCAUUAAUUAACUGCAAGAUCAGAUUCAUCAAUUAAUUUAAGAUAAAAAAUUGGUCAAAAUAUGGCAAGUAAAAAAGGAUCUAGUUUAGAAUUUUGUUUUACUUCAAUUUCUGGCUGAACUGUUAUAGCUAAGGAUCUCCAUUAUUAUUGCAAAAUUAGUACAUGAUGACUCUGUGUCUGUGAGCUGGUUGAAACCUAUAAGCAAACAAAAAUAACUAAGAUACUAUCAUGUUGACGAACAGAGCGCCUUGUGGAAAAACAUAGUGGUGGCCACUAGAAUACCUGUACCACCAGAUAUCGGUGUUAGAAUGUCCUUUUGGUAGCUUACUACAACAUGAUUCCCUACGCUUCCCAUGCCAAUAGCCGUACUGAACCACACAUAGUCUUUCCGGUUGAAGAUGUAACUAGCUAGACUUCACAAUUCUGACUGAUACCGCAUUGCCCACUCAUCCAACAAUAUACCACACUUACAAUAUAUACUAUCACUUGUCAGCUUGUAUGCAAUUGUUCACUCUUAAAGGAGAGGGUGGUGAAUGAAAAAAUGAGUAGUGACUAGUGUGCCUACCUUUUAUUGUUGCGGUUUUGUACAAACGAUACCUUUUAUUGUUGUGGUUUUGUACAAACGACACAAGUUAUUUCUGGCUGCUAUAGAACAGUUGUCAUUCUGCAUUUAUAAAAGAGUAAAUUGCACGGCC
This 881-nucleotide long non-coding RNA is filed under the name Sorghum bicolor (sorghum). Its description in RNAcentral is "long non-coding RNA (SBIC_LNC009618)". Lineage: Eukaryota; Viridiplantae; Streptophyta; Magnoliopsida; Poales; Poaceae. The record is from RNAcentral.